Molecule: long non-coding RNA, 249 nt
Organism: Eurytemora carolleeae
Lineage: Eukaryota; Metazoa; Arthropoda; Copepoda; Calanoida; Temoridae
Exons: 2
Source: RefSeq, a predicted model, not a curated record
CUCACCGCCAUGCCAUCAUUCAGUCAGCUGAGAGGGUUGGAGCGGGUAGGAGUGCCUGAGUGAUGGAGACAGCUCCUGGCUCAGCGCUCAGUUGGAGGAAGACACUCGAGUAGUUAACAUCUCUUUUUCUGUUUGCUCAGUCGAAUCAAGAAAUUCCUAUAGUUAACAUCUCAGUCGCAUUAAGGCACUCCAAUAUUAAACAUCAUAUGAUAGUACUAUUCACAGAAAGCAACAAAAAAGUGAACUGUA